Molecule: ribosomal RNA, 118 nt
Filed under: Gossypium arboreum
Lineage: Eukaryota; Viridiplantae; Streptophyta; Magnoliopsida; Malvales; Malvaceae
Source: RNAcentral
GGGUGCGAUCCUACCAGCACUAAUGCACCGGAUCCCAUCAGAACUCCGCAAUUAAGCGUGCUUGGGCGAGAGUAGUACUAGGAUGAAUGAUUUGUUCUAGAAUUUUCUAGUGCAUUCU